This 328-nucleotide unclassified non-coding RNA is filed under the name uncultured fungus. RNAcentral describes it as "sequence contains ITS2". The stretch from base 1 to 52 matches the Rfam family "5.8S ribosomal RNA", at positions 103 to 154 of the family's 154-position model. The record is from RNAcentral. Lineage: Eukaryota; Fungi.
AACGCACCUUGCGCUCCUUGGUAUUCCGAGGAGCAUGCCUGUUUGAGUGUCAUAAUAUUCUCAACCUUGAUCACUUUUGCGAGUGAAUUUUUAAGGCUUGGAUUAUGGGAGUUUGCGGGCUUUUCUUUAUAAGAAGAUCCCGCUCUUCUAAAAUAUAUUAGUGGGAUCUCUAACCGAUCAUCUUUUAGUAUGAUAAUUAUCUAUACUAUUAGACUCGGUUUACCUUGUAUCAAAGGGGGAGAAGGACUCUGCUACUAACCGUCUUUUGUUAAGACAGUAUACAUGACAUUUUGACCUCAAAUCAGGUAGGACUACCCGCUGAACUUAA